This 22-nucleotide small nuclear RNA is filed under the name Arabidopsis thaliana (thale cress). RNAcentral's name for it is "snRNA_08208". Lineage: Eukaryota; Viridiplantae; Streptophyta; Magnoliopsida; Brassicales; Brassicaceae. The record is from RNAcentral.
AGCGGAGGAAAAGAAACUAACA